RNAcentral lists this long non-coding RNA (1314 nucleotides) under Equus caballus (horse). RNAcentral describes it as "lncRNA (ENSECAG00000041857.2)". The record is from RNAcentral. Lineage: Eukaryota; Metazoa; Chordata; Mammalia; Perissodactyla; Equidae.
GCAGUCACUCUCCCUUCUCCCGGAGGAGCGAGGACCUAUAAGGAAGUGAAGGACAACACGUUGUAUCCCAUACGCUGCCAUCUCAGGUUUCAGCUCCUCAGCUAAAGUGAUGGAUUCCUUCUUUCUUUCUGACCCCAACAUCAGUGGAAGAACUUGAUCUGGUUGCCAUGGAGACCAGCCACUGACUUCAGAGUGCCUGUUUAUUAAAGAUGAAAGUAACUUAUGCCUGGCUGAUCUAGCAGCUGUCAGAGAAAGAUUCGGCUGUUGGCAAAAGAAGUCACUAAUUUUGAGGCAUGAUCAUUCACUUAAGAGAGAGACGGCCCUGCCUGCAUCUUCCCAGAGGAGCCGGGCAGUGUGGUUAAGAAUUCACAAGCUAAACUGUCAAAGCUCCAUAGAGCUCUUGUUGCUCCUCCCUGUAGGACGAGAACCUACCCUCGUACAGUACAACUGAUCUCUGGCUCUCAGCAGACCCGUCACCGAGAACCAUGCCAUCCCACCUGGCCAGCUGCCACGAACCCCUUUGGAUGCAAUACACAGCCUGAAGCUGCUCACUUCUGUGGAUAUUGCCCUCCUGGCUACGCUGCAAGAGAGAGCCCUGCUGACUAGAGUUCCCCCAGCCCUAAUCCUACCUGGUUACGGGUCCUUUUCUUUUCCCACCACGUGUGCUGCCAAGCUUGCCCAGUGAGUUUGGCUCAUGAUGUUAUCACAACAUAGGGUUAAUUUUACGGGUGUCUCUCUCCGUGGUAAACAAGUUAUUCACAUUAUCUGUCAUCCCCAUUAAUCCUGCUCGGGGAAACUGGAAGGAGCAGCUUUAAGUGGUUACGCUUUGCCCUGUGUGACCCCACCCCUAGAGCUCAUUGGUUCAGGACGUACUCCUAACCAACAGGCAGUCAAUCAAUAGGCUUGUCAGCAACUCAUUUCAUAACCUGGCACUCAUACACAUAAAAGCUGGGUUAAUCCUUGCUUCUUUCUUGGAAAUAUAAACAGAGAAAUGACAAGAAAGAAAGAUGUAGCAGGUUGCUUAGGAACAAGAAAAUAAGAGUGGAAGCCACAAUGGGUCAUCAUAAUAAGUCCAAAUUGCAAAAUAUUGAAACUAUGAGCAAGCAGAAGUGAUGGAGGAGAGAAGAGUUUCAAGCCAAGGGAAACAAGAAGCUGAGAGAAGCAUCUAGGUCAAUGGGCAUGACCUUCCAGCCCCUGCCACAGAGCCCUAGAGUCUCCUGAAACUAGAGUAGCUCCCCAGUCCCAGGGCUCUGAGCUUGCCCCCUCCAUCUGUGGAAGACCAACUCCACAUUUAGUUUUACAAGAAAACUCCCU